UGGUGAACUGAAAUAUCUAAGUAACCAGAGGAAAAGAAAUCAACCGAGAUUCCGUCAGUAGCGACGAGCGAACGCGGACUAGCCCUUAAGCUGGAUUGGUUCUAGGAAAACACUCUGGAAAGAGUGGCCAUAGAAGGUGACAGCCCUGUAUCUGAAAGGGCCAUUCCAGUGAAGACGAGUAGGGCGGGGCACGUGAAACCCUGUCUGAACAUGGGGGGACCAUCCUCCAAGGCUAAAUACUACUGACCGACCGAUAGUGAACCAGUACCGUGAGGGAAAGGCGAAAAGAACCCCGGAGAGGGGAGUGAAAUAGAACCUGAAACCGUGUGCGUACAAGCAGUAGGAGCUCCGCAAGGAGUGACUGCGUACCUUUUGUAUAAUGGGUCAGCGACUUACUGUUCGUGGCAAGCUUAACCGUAUAGGGGAGGCGAAGGGAAACCGAGUCUGAUAAGGGCGCAUAGUCGCGGGCAGUAGACCCGAAACCGGGUGAUCUAGUCAUGCCCAGGGUGAAGGUGCGGUAACACGCACUGGAGGCCCGAACCCACUCCCGUUGCAAAGGUAGGGGAUGAGGUGUGAUUAGGAGUGAAAAGCUAAUCGAACCCGGAGAUAGCUGGUUCUCCUCGAAAGCUAUUUAGGUAGCGCCUCAUAUGUAUCCUCUCGGGGGUAGAGCACUGUUAUGGCUAGGGGGUCAUCGCGACUUACCAAACCAUUGCAAACUCCGAAUACCGAGACGGACUGUAUGGGAGACACACGGCGGGUGCUAACGUCCGUCGUGAAAAGGGAAACAACCCAGACCCACAGCUAAGGUCCCAAAUUCAGUGCUAAGUGGAAAACCAUGUGGAAAGGCACAGACAGCCAGGAGGUUGGCUUUAGAAGCAGCCACCCUUUAAAGAAAGCGUAAUAGGCUCACUGGUCGAGUCGGUCUGCGGGGAAGAUUUAA
This 940-nucleotide ribosomal RNA is filed under the name Stenotrophomonas maltophilia. RNAcentral's name for it is "bacterial LSU rRNA". It matches the Rfam family "Bacterial large subunit ribosomal RNA", at positions 186 to 1175 of the family's 2925-position model. The record is from RNAcentral. Lineage: Bacteria; Pseudomonadati; Pseudomonadota; Gammaproteobacteria; Lysobacterales; Lysobacteraceae.